UUUAACGGCCGCGGUAUCCUAACCGUGCGAAGGUAGCGCAAUCAAUUGUCCCAUAAAUCGAGACCUGUAUGAAUGGCUAAACGAGGCCUUAACUGUCUCCUACAGAAAAUCAGUGAAAUUGAUCUCCCCGUGACAAGGCGGGAAUGUACUCAUAAGACGAGAAGACCCUGUGGAACUUAAAAAUCAACGGCCACCGCACGCAACCCCAAAGCCAAACAGACUCACACGAUCACCAACGCUGGCCUACAUUUUUUGGUUGGGGCGACCUUGGAGAAAAACAAAUCCUCCAAACCCAAGAACACAUCUCUUAACUAAGAGCAACCCCUCAAAGUACAAACAGUAACCAGACCCAAGACAACUUGAUCAAUGGACCAAGCUACCCCAGGGAUAACAGCGCAAUCCCCCCCAAGAGCCCAUAUCGACGGGGGGGUUUACGACCUCGAUGUUGGAUCAGGACACCCUAAUGGUGCAGCCGCUAUUAA
This 482-nucleotide ribosomal RNA is filed under the name Tyto alba guttata. Its description in RNAcentral is "partial 16S ribosomal RNA". It matches the Rfam family "Bacterial large subunit ribosomal RNA", at positions 1923 to 2568 of the family's 2925-position model. Lineage: Eukaryota; Metazoa; Chordata; Aves; Strigiformes; Tytonidae. The record is from RNAcentral.